Picea glauca (white spruce) is the source of this 119-nucleotide non-coding RNA. The record is from Rfam. NCBI's taxonomy places the organism in Eukaryota, Viridiplantae, Streptophyta, Pinopsida, Pinales, Pinaceae.
GGGUGCGAUAAUACCGAUGUUAAUGCACCGGAGCUCAUCAAAACUCCGUAGUUAAGCGUGCUUUGGCUAGAAAAGAACUAGGAUGGGUGACCUCACAGGAAGUCCUAGUGUUUCACCCU